This 253-nucleotide ribosomal RNA is filed under the name uncultured bacterium. RNAcentral describes it as "partial 16S ribosomal RNA". It matches the Rfam family "Bacterial small subunit ribosomal RNA", at positions 524 to 776 of the family's 1533-position model. The record is from RNAcentral.
UACGGAUGGAGCAAGCGUUGUUCGGAAUCACUGGGCAUAAAGCGCAUGUAGGCGGCUCUGAAAGUAGGGUGUGAAAUCCCCUGGCCCACCCAGGGAACUGCAUUCUAAACUUCAGGGCUUGAGUGAAGAAGGGGAGAGAGGAACUCCUGGUGGAGCGGUAAAAUGCGUAGAUAUCAGGAGGAACGCCGGUGGAGAAGUCGUCUCUCUGGUCUUUUACUGACGCUGAGAUGCGAAAGCUAGGGGAGCAAACGGG